Trametes punicea is the source of this 95-nucleotide non-coding RNA. The record is from the annotation of a GenBank genome assembly. Lineage: Eukaryota; Fungi; Basidiomycota; Agaricomycetes; Polyporales; Polyporaceae.
UGCCCCAUGGCUGAGCUGGUUACAGCGUCCGACUGUUAUACAGAUUUUCUGUAAAAGCAAUCGGAAGGUCGUGAGUUCGAGCCUCACUGGGGCAG